GAUGAACGCUGGCGGCGUGCCUAAUACAUGCAAGUCGAGCGAACAGACGAGGAGCUUGCUCCUCUGACGUUAGCGGCGGACGGGUGAGUAACACGUGGAUAACCUACCUAUAAGACUGGGAUAACUUCGGGAAACCGGAGCUAAUACCGGAUAAUAUAUUGAACCGCAUGGUUCAAUAGUGAAAGACGGUUUUGCUGUCACUUAUAGAUGGAUCCGCGCCGCAUUAGCUAGUUGGUAAGGUAACGGCUUACCAAGGCGACGAUGCGUAGCCGACCUGAGAGGGUGAUCGCCCACCUUGGAGCUGAGACACGGUCCAGACUCCUACGGGAGGCAGCAGUAGGGAAUCGUCCGCAGUGGGCGAAAGCCUGACGGAGCAACGCCGCGUGAGUGAUGACGGUCUUCGGAUCGUAAAACUCUGUUAUUAGGGAAGAACAAAUGUGUAAGUAACUAUGCACGUCUUGACGGUACCUAGUCAGAAAGCCACGGCUAACUACGUG
Molecule: ribosomal RNA, 497 nt
Filed under: uncultured bacterium
Lineage: Bacteria
Description: partial 16S ribosomal RNA
Rfam family: Bacterial small subunit ribosomal RNA
Source: RNAcentral